UCAGCAUUCCACCAAAACUAACAGAAACUGACACCAGGCGUGGACCAAUGCCUUCAGAAUUAGCAUGAUUUCCUGAAUCUGCAACAUAAGUCCAUGAUAACCAAAGGCAAUCUGCUAUGCUAUCGUCUGUCACGCCAAAAAGUGCUAAGCCACCAAGACAAAUAAGGAGCAGAGUGGCAACUAACAAGGCCAGUGGUUUAGCAUAAGGAUGAAAUGAUAAGAAUCCAUCUACCCGGUAAGCUAGCUGCUUGUUCAGAGAUAAUUCCUCUGUGGUGCAGUCCGACGGUCUUCUAACAUAAGAGAUAUACUCCAUAUAUUUAAUAAAAACAAGAGGAAGGGACAAGAUCACGAGUGAGAGAAUCAAUGCUGUAGUUUUCAAACUUGCACCAGAAAUAUUCUGCUCUGACAUUGAUUCACUAAUGUCAAUAGAAUCUGAAAUGUUGCAGUGUCUCAGUCUGAUAUCGAGCUUUGAAAGCUCACCCUGAUAUGACGGGAAGGAAAGGAGAAACAGGUAAACAGUUUAGGGACAGAUCUAGUAAUAUCUUGCAUACAUGUUAGUCAAAUUCUACUUCUCAAAAGCCCAGAAUUGUUGUAUCAAUAUAAAUGCAAUGUUACACACUUUAAAGUCUACUAAUAACUGAAGAAGAUGAAGGCUAUAUAUUUCUACAGUUCCUCGUCAUGGAUAUUACUUGAAUUGGUCUUGGAAGAUGAUCUGGAAAAUAAGAGCUCAACCUUAUGUAGAUAGUUCACAGAGUCUUCAUCAAAAAAAAAAAGUUCAGAGAGUCUUACUUUUUAUUUAUUUUUUGAGAUGAUUUUAGUUCAAAAGUCUUAUUUGACACAAUUAUACUUACAAAGAAGGUCAAUGAAGGAAUGAUUACCAACAAACACCGAGAACUCCUCCAUAGAUCUUCAUAUCACCCUGUAUCCGUCCCUCUUCAGGAUACCGAAUAGUACUAAAAUCACCUCUAAGUACCCCUGGAAUGUCCCACUCUCCCAUAAUAGUUGUCAUCUCAUCCCAAAAAAUUUUCCUUUAACCCUCCCCCACAGGGCCAUACAGGCAUACACUGCCACAAAUCCCCUUCACCCCAUUCCCAUAGUUUUGAAAUCAUAGCUGCUAACAAGAACUCCCCUUUCUUUCCUUGCAUAAAUUAUAGUUUCCUCUUGUCUCAUAGUUAAAAAAAAAACCUCAACAUUCCUGCGAUCUGGAAUAAACUCAUAUCUCACUCAUCCACCUCCCACAAACUUCUUACAAUAGCGUCUAACAGACCUACUGUUUCAGUUUCCUGAAAACAUAUAAGAUUGCCCUCAACCCCUUAAACUCACCUUUACGGUUGCCCUUUUAUUAGGGCCAUUCAACCCCCUCACAUUCCCAUGAAAUAAUUUUACUAUCCAUAAACAAUAUCUAUAUCCUUAUCCCCCCUCCCCAAUCAUCUCCCCACCACCCAACUUCUUCCCCUUGCCCUUUAUCCACAUCCCUCACUCUCCACCUUGCCUCCUCUCAUACACCGCAAAUUUACCCUUCUCAUGUUGCCCUUCCCCUGCCCUAACCUAACCCCUUUCAACCCUACUAGAAUUUCUUGCUUCUCUUUCAAUUGCCAAUAAAAAGCUCUAAUAUUCUCUUCUUCCUCCCACCCUCCACCCCACCCCAAACCAAAAGAAAAACCCACAAAUUCCCCCACCCACUCCAUUAAUCUCCUCUCCUCCUCAGUAAUUGUUAACAGUAAGGCAUCUUCCUCCACCAUCAUCCUCCUGACCCCAUUAUCAUAUUGUCGGGCAUCAAAAUAUGUCACGCCAAAAAGUGCUAAGCCACCAAGACAAAUAAGGAGCAGAGUGGCAACUAACAAGGCCAGUGGUUUAGCAUAAGGAUGAAAUGAUAAGAAUACAUCUACCCGGUAAGCUAGCUGCUUGUUCAGAGAUAAUUCCUCUGUGGUGCAGUCCGACGGUCUUCUAACAUAAGAGAUAUACUCCAUAUAUUUAAUAAAAACAAGAGGAAGGGACAAGAUCACGAGUGAGAGAAUCAAUGCUGUAGUUUUCAAACUUGCAACAGAAAUGUUCUGCUCUGACAUUGAGUCAAUAAUGUCAAUAGAAUCUGAAAUGUUGCAGCGUCUCAGUCGGAUAUCGAGCUUUGAAAGCUCACCCUGAU
This 2143-nucleotide long non-coding RNA is filed under the name Capsicum annuum. RNAcentral describes it as "long non-coding RNA (CANN_LNC009025)". Lineage: Eukaryota; Viridiplantae; Streptophyta; Magnoliopsida; Solanales; Solanaceae. The record is from RNAcentral.